AUUGAACGCUGGCGGCAUGCUUUACACAUGCAAGUCGAACGGCAGCGCGGGCUUCGGCCUGGCGGCGAGUGGCGAACGGGUGAGUAAUACAUCGGAACGUGCCCAGUAGUGGGGGAUAGCUCGGCGAAAGCCGGAUUAAUACCGCAUACGACCUGAGGGUGAAAGCGGGGGAUCUUCGGACCUCGCGCUAUUGGGGCGGCCGAUGGCAGAUUAGCUAGUUGGUGGGGUAAAGGCCUACCAAGGCGACGAUCUGUAGCUGGUCUGAGAGGACGACCAGCCACACUGGGACUGAGACACGGCCCAGACUCCUACGGGAGGCAGCAGUGGGGAAUUUUGGACAAUGGGCGAAAGCCUGAUCCAGCAAUGCCGCGUGUGUGAUGAAGGCCUUCGGGUUGUAAAGCACUUUUGGCGGGAACGAAAAGGACUGCGCCAAUACCACGGUUCGAUGACGGUACCCGCAGAAUAAGCACCGGCUAACUACGUG
This 484-nucleotide ribosomal RNA is filed under the name uncultured bacterium. Its description in RNAcentral is "partial 16S ribosomal RNA". It matches the Rfam family "Bacterial small subunit ribosomal RNA", at positions 29 to 507 of the family's 1533-position model. The record is from RNAcentral.